This 348-nucleotide unclassified non-coding RNA is filed under the name soil metagenome. RNAcentral's name for it is "partial contains 5.8S ribosomal RNA, internal transcribed spacer 2, and large subunit ribosomal RNA". The stretch from base 1 to 120 matches the Rfam family "5.8S ribosomal RNA", at positions 35 to 154 of the family's 154-position model. The record is from RNAcentral.
GAUGAAGAACGUAGCGAAAUGCGAUAAGUAAUGUGAAUUGCAGAAUUCAGUGAAUCAUCGAGUAUUUGAACGCGCAUUGCGACCCCUGGUAUUCCGGGGGGCAUGCCUGUCCGAGCGUCAUUGCCGCCCUCAAGCACGGCUUGUGUGUUGGGCCCCCGCCCCCCGGCUUCGGGGGGCGGGCCCGAAAGGCAGCGGCGGCACCGCGUCCGGUCCUCGAGCGUAUGGGGCUUCGUCACCCGCUCUGUAGGCCCGGCCGGCGCCCGCCGGCGACCCCAAUCAAUCUUUCCAGGUUGACCUCGGAUCAGGUAGGGAUACCCGCUGAACUUAAGCAUAUCAAUAAGCGGAGGA